This 89-nucleotide transfer RNA is filed under the name uncultured Chloroflexota bacterium. RNAcentral's name for it is "uncultured Chloroflexi bacterium tRNA-Ser-GGA". It matches the Rfam family "tRNA". From Rfam's summary of the family: Transfer RNA (tRNA) molecules are approximately 80 nucleotides in length. Their secondary structure includes four short double-helical elements and three loops (D, anti-codon, and T loops). Lineage: Bacteria; Bacillati; Chloroflexota. The record is from RNAcentral.
GGAGGGAUCGCAUAGUUGGUCUAGUGCGCGCGCUUGGAAAGCGCGUAAGGUGCAAGCCUUCGAGGGUUCGAAUCCCUCUCCCUCCGCCA